Molecule: ribosomal RNA, 253 nt
Filed under: uncultured bacterium
Lineage: Bacteria
Description: partial 16S ribosomal RNA
Rfam family: Bacterial small subunit ribosomal RNA
Source: RNAcentral
UACGGAGGGUGCAAUCGUUAUCCGGAUUCACUGGGUUUAAAGGGUGCGUAGGUGGGUUGGUAAGUCAGUGGUGAAAUCCCCGAGCUUAACUUGGGAACUGCCAUUGAUACUAUUAAUCUUGAAUACCGUGGAGGUUAGCGGAAUAUGUCAUGUAGCGGUGAAAUGCUUAGAUAUGACAUAGAACACCAAUUGCGAAGGCAGCUGGCUACACGAAUAUUGACACUGAUGCACGAAAGCGUGGGGAUCAAACAGG